This 2558-nucleotide small RNA is filed under the name Pan troglodytes (chimpanzee). Its description in RNAcentral is "retained intron". Lineage: Eukaryota; Metazoa; Chordata; Mammalia; Primates; Hominidae. The record is from RNAcentral.
CAGCCACGUGCUGGCUUUCUAAGGCCAACAUCCCUUCCACGUCUGUCUGUGGUUGCUGGUUUUGAUGCCUGUUUAGAGCAGACAGAUCUCAGCGCAGUGGGGAGUGCUGAAAUGGGUUCCCUUCCAAAAGGGAAACCCCCAGAGGGGCAGUCCUUGGGAGAAACAAUUUAGCAGCAAGUACUGUGAAAUUAACCCUGCACCUUUGACCAUGUGAUCCCAGUUCCAGAUUUUUCAUCUCUCUUUUGUGUUAUAAGUAACACCCAAAAUGAUACUGUUUCAUAGAAAAAGUGUUCAAAUAUAGAGCCCCUGGAGGAGAGAAAUUGAAAGCACUGUGUCUGUGGCAGGUGGAAGUGCUCAGAGCCUUCCUCCUGAGAACAGGGUGGCGUGGGCUCUGGAGAGGGGACCUGGAUUUGGGUCCUGACACAAGUUGGGCAAACCGCCUGCCGUUUCUGCUCAUCUGUGAAAUGGAGUCACGCAUCCCUGUUGUGGAGGAGUUGGGUGAGGACUUGGUUGAAUCAGCGAUGGGUCACAGCCUGCAGAGGCACUCAAGGGUGUGCGCAGCAUGGGGUGGCGAUGGAGCCUGGUGGAGGAAGGGAAGGGCAGUCAGGGUCUCAUUAUUCUGGCCGUCCUCGAUGUCAGGUGUCAGGAGGAGGCAGAGGUGGUACCUGUCACAGGGCGAAGGCCAGGGAGCUGCUUCCUCACCUGGCUCCUUCCCCAGGUCCCUGCUUCCCCUUCUCUGUGAGCGUGGAACUGGACGGUGUGGUCUGCCCUGCGGGCACUGCGAAUAGCAAGACAGAGGCCAAACAGCAGGCAGCGCUGUCUGCCCUCUGCUACAUCCGGAGUCAGCUGGAGAACCCAGGUAAUGGAGGGAGGGCCAGGCAGCUGAGCCGCAGCUGGGGACAAGAGGCCUGAGGCUGGCAGUCCUGUGGGGAGGCGGAAGUGGCUGUGCGUGUGAGCAGGAGGUGGGUUGCUGCACGAACCAUCUGAGCAUCAGGACAUCACCUGCAGGGAGCUGGGGCGGGGUACAUGUGCCGGUCCCUGCUUUCAUGUCCUCUGGGGACACUGGGUGUAGGGACUGCUAGAAGAGCAGCUCGUGUAAUGUCCGGUGUCUGGAAGAUGAAAACUUCCUCUCCCCACCUCCUUGGCUUCCUGAGGGAUGGAGGGUGGGCCUUGGCACCCACACCAGCCUGCCCUCCUUGCCUCUUUCAGAGUCCCCCCAGACCUCCAGCCAGCCUCCACUGGCCCCCCUGAGCAUAGAGAACAUCCUGACCCAUGAGCAGCGCUGCGCAGCGUUGGUGAGCGCUGGCUUUGACCUCCUGUUGGAUGAGCGCUCGCCAUACUGGGCCUAGAUCCCGCGUGCCAGGGGCCACGUGAAGGAGAUCUACAAGCUGGUGGCUCUGGGCACUGGCAGCAGCUGCUGUGCUGGCUGGCUGGAGUUCUCGGGCCAGCAGCUCCAUGACUGCCAUGGCCUGGUCAUCGCCCGCAGGGCCCUGCUGAGGUUCUUGUUCCGGCAGCUCCUGCUGGCCACACAGGGGGGCCCCAAGGGCAAGGAGCAGUCCGUGCUGGCCCCCCAGCCAGGGCCCGGACCCCCAUUCACCCUCAAGCCCCGCGUCUUCCUGCACCUCUACAUCAGCAACACCCCCAAGGGCGCGGCCCGUGACAUCUACCUGCCCCCCACCUCGGAAGGUGGCCUCCCGCACAGCCCACCCAUGCGCCUGCAGGCCCAUGUGCUCGGGCAGCUGAAGCCUGUGUGCUACGUGGCGCCCUCGCUCUGUGACACCCACGUGGGCUGCCUGUCAGCCAGCGACAAGCUGGCACGCUGGGCCGUGCUGGGGCUGGGUGGUGCCCUGCUGGCCCACCUGGUGUCUCCACUCUACAGCACCAGCCUCAUCCUCGCUGACUCAUGCCAUGACCCUCCAACUCUGAGCAGGGCCAUCCACACCCGGCCCUGCCUGGACAGUGUCCUGGGGCCAUGCCUGCCACCUCCCUACGUCCGGACUGCCCUGCACCUGUUUGCAGGGCCCCCGGUGGCCCCUUCCGAACCCACCCCUGACACCUGCCGUGGCCUGAGCCUCAACUGGAGCCUGGGGGACCCUGGCAUCGAGGUUGUGGAUGUGGCCACCGGGCGUGUGAAGGCCAAUGCCGCCCUGGGGCCUCCCUCCCGUCUCUGCAAGGCCUCCUUUCUCCGGGCCUUUCACCAGGCGGCCAGGGCUGUGGGGAAGCCCUACCUCCUGGCCUUGAAGACCUACGAGGCUGCCAAGGCUGGGCCCUACCAGGAGGCUCGCCGGCAGCUGUCUCUUCUCCUGGACCAGCAGGGCCUGGGGGCUUGGCCCUCGAAGCCACUGGUGGGCAAAUUCAGAAACUGAAGUCGGCCUCCGCGGGACCACGGUCCCGGAGCCAAGCUAUACCCCUGCUUGGGGAGUGCCCUAUCUGAGGAGCGUUGUGGGGAGAACAUGGGUUGUGCGGGGUGAAACUGGGGCUGGAGGGAAGGAGGAGCCUGCUGUGGUUGGGAGGCGGCUGCUGCACGUUUGGGCUUGAAUAAAGAAGUAUUUCUGGUU